UACGUAGGGGGCAAGCGUUGUCCGGAAUCAUUGGGCGUAAAGAGCGUGUAGGCGGCCUGAUAAGUCGGCUGUGAAAGUCAAGAGCUCAACCCUUGAAUGCCGGCCGAUACUGUCAGGCUAGAGUCCGGAAGAGGCGAGUGGAAUUCCUGGUGUAGCGGUGAAAUGCGCAGAUAUCAGGAGGAACACCUAUGGCGAAGGCAGCUCGCUGGGACGGUACUGACGCUGAGACGCGAAAGCGUGGGGAGCGAACAGG
This 253-nucleotide ribosomal RNA is filed under the name uncultured bacterium. RNAcentral describes it as "partial 16S ribosomal RNA". It matches the Rfam family "Bacterial small subunit ribosomal RNA", at positions 524 to 776 of the family's 1533-position model. The record is from RNAcentral.